GCCUUUCUAACUAGAAAGAGUUUCUGAUGGGAGAAUUCAUAUACAGGAUGUAUAGCAUCAACAUCAACAGCCAGCUGGAAUUGACGGCUUUGUUGAUACCCCAGCCAGGCACAUCCCUUAUUCCUCUGCUAAUGGUGAGCAACCCCCACUCCCUGAGGUUCUAGGCCACCUUCUAUGAGAGCGGUUACAAGUUACAUGGGAACACCAAGUACAAUCUGGUGAGCUAUGUCCCCACCAAACCUCACCACAUGUCCCCCGAGGGCUCCCUCUUCCUUCUUCCCUUACCAGCAUAAAGAGCUGAGGAAUUUCCAGACAACACAGCCCCUAGCCCUGCCACAUGGUGGGAAGAUGAUCAGGCAGC
Long non-coding RNA from Cebus imitator (Panamanian white-faced capuchin), 361 nucleotides. RefSeq lists it as uncharacterized. Lineage: Eukaryota; Metazoa; Chordata; Mammalia; Primates; Cebidae. The record is from RefSeq and is a predicted model, not a curated record. The transcript is spliced from 3 exons.